RNAcentral lists this ribosomal RNA (470 nucleotides) under uncultured bacterium. RNAcentral's name for it is "bacterial SSU rRNA". It matches the Rfam family "Bacterial small subunit ribosomal RNA", at positions 28 to 495 of the family's 1533-position model. The record is from RNAcentral.
GAUGAACGCUGGCGGCGUGCCUAAUACAUGCAAGUCGAACGCGAGCAGCAAUGCUCGAGUGGCGAACGGGUGAGUAAUACAUAAGUAACCUGCCCUAGACAGGGGGAUAACUGCUGGAAACGGCAGCUAAGACCGCAUAGGUAUGGACACUGCAUGGUGACCAUAUUAAAAGUGCCAAGGCACUGGUAGAGGAUGGACUUAUGGCGCAUUAGCUGGUUGGUGAGGUAACGGCUCACCAAGGCGACGAUGCGUAGCCGACCUGAGAGGGUGACCGGCCACACUGGGACUGAGACACGGCCCAGACUCCUACGGGAGGCAGCAGUAGGGAAUUUUCGGCAAUGGGGGGAACCCUGACCGAGCAACGCCGCGUGAAGGAAGAAGGAAUUCGUUCUGUAAACUUCUGUUAUAAAGGAAGAACGGCGGAUAUAGGGAAUGAUAUCCGAGUGACGGUACUUUAUGAGAAAGCCACG